AUGCAAGGACCAGAACUGGUUGACUCGAGGAGUCGUUUUCGAUUUAUUGAAUCCUGUCUCGGCUUGAUGGGCUGUUUGUGCAUCAGCUAUGCGAUCUGGACACCUUGGUGGCUGGAUGAGCAGGGUCUGUGGACCUCAGGGAAUCAGACCAGACUGGACGACAGCUGGACUACUGAAGACAUUACUAAAGCUCUGGAGGCUGAGAGAGUGUUUGCAGUGGUGGCUUUCCUCAUGUCGGUGAGCUCUGGACUGCUGUGUCUCAUGUUCGCUCUCUGUUGGAGGUCUCAAACUGUGCAUUCCUACUCGAACACUCGCUCGCUGCUGAUGGCAGGCCAGGCACUUGACCCGAGCACUCUGCUGCUGCUUACACUAGUACCUUCAGGAUUUUUCUUUUUUCUCAGCUGGGCGCUUUUUACCCAUCAACAUAUUGGUGAGAUCAGGGAUGACGUCAGUCGACUCGGCCUGUCCUAUUGGCUGGGAGUGGUGGGUUGGGCUUCGCUAUUGGCCGUGCUGCCUGUGGUCUUCCUGGCGGAGAAGUUUGUGGUUCCUGACAUCCUGCCGGAGUUAAAAAAGACUGCAGAAAUGUGGUGGAAGGCUCCCGAGGUUGCACACGCGCGAUCGUUUAGUGAGGGUUUCUAUCAUUCACAGCAUAAGUCUCAUCCUGACGUUAGGAGGUAUUUGUCAGUGCCUUGAACGAGAGGAAGGAGGUAGCAAGAAAAUACAAAAGAGAAGAGACUCUUGUCUCGCUGGUAUUCUAGCCAACUAUAUGAGCUGAGCAAAUGUCUCACAACAGGGGUUGAUGACCUGCAUGAGAAACCUGUAACUGCUUUCUGGGAUGUGGGACACAAAGCUACAGGUUAUAAGGUUGUGCGCUGGCCUUGACAGUGGUAUCACAGCUGUAUUUGGACGAGGACACCCAAAAAUGUGGUUAAUGGUAUACCAGAGUUCACUAUCUGUGUGAGACAUAAAGCUGAAAGGAUCUUGAUGUUGCAGACUAUUUCUCCAUAACUUUUUAUAGCCGUUGUCUGCAAUUGUACAGUGACUUCAGGGAGGUCUUUUUUUUAAAUGCAUUUUAAAUAUGCUGAAUUAUUGACUAUAAAUGUAAAUAAUUUUCAUGGCAUAAAUCUGUUGUGGUUUGUUCAGCUGUGCCUAUAGCACAGUUAACUAAACAUGAGUUAUAUAUAUAUAUAUAUAUAUAUAUAUAUAUAUAUAUAUAUAUAUAUAUAUAUAUAUAUACACAUACACAACACUAAAAUUUAUAUAUAUAUAUAAGACACUAAAAUAGUGUCUUAAGUAAUGCUACUGCUGUUAUGGUUACCUCGAAUGCAUUAAUUAGCUCCAUAUUUAGCAAGAAAUGAAAAUAUGUGUUUUGACUGACUUUUAAAGUUAUUGAAACAUUAAAAAAAAAAUGGUGGUGAUCAUUUAAUUCCAGAUUGUUCUGCCCGUGCUCAGUUUUGCAGACAAUACUGAUUCAAAUAGCCACAGAGCACUUUUGACCUGCUAACACUUCUAGGUGCUUAUGCAGAAUUUAACACUACUAGAUGGUGCUACAAUUGUUUUUGUUUUUUGCGUCUCUUGUCUUUUUUUAUGCGGAAACAGUGCUCUCUACUGGCGAUAGUACAAAGAGCAUCCUGUUCUGUCUAUCAUUUGCAUUUUUAAAGCUCUAUUAAUUAUACUUUUUGUACUGUUUUUAACCAAUAAAUAAAAUGGUUAUCAUAUAAAGCUGAGUCAGUACCUAUCUAUCUAUCUAUCUAUCUAUCUAUCUAUCUAUCUAUCUAUCUAUCUAUCUAUCUAUCUAUCUAUCUAUCUAUCUAUCUAUCUAUCUAUCUAUCUAUCUAUCUAAUCAAAACAUCUGAGACCGUAUUGUAGGAGUGAUUUUUGAUUUCUUAUUAUUUAGUACUUGUUUGUUUUAUUUCAGUACCAUUAUACUAAUUCUAAAAAAAAAAAAAACGUUAGUAAUUUUGUUGUUUUCUCAUUUCAUUUCAUUAAAUAUAUAAUAUAUAAUAAAUAUAAAUACAUUUAUUAUUUUUUUUAUUUUUAUUAUUGAGUUUAAAAAUUUAGUUACUAUUUUCAACUUAAAGGGAUAGUUUACCCUAAAAUGAAAACUCUGACAUUGAUUACACACCUGAGGAUGAUUAAUUAAUUUUUUGGGUGUUUUCAUUUUUGGGUGAACUAUCCCUUUAAACUUAUUUGCCAUGACAACAUGUAAAGGUUUUGGAGCAAGAACUACAAAAUUAAUAUUAAUUCUAUACUAUAUUUACCAUGUGCACUUAAAAAUAAUAAUAGACAAAUACACAAUAGAUACCUUUUCACUAGUGGUUCCAUGACUUCUGGAACUCACUGCAUGCAGACCAUUAAAAUUAUACAGGGAAACAAGUAUUGUCUGAGACUGAGGUCAUGCCCUCUGUCAUUAUGUUCUUCAUUAUCAUGGAGACAAAACUGAGACUGAGAGCUUUCUGAACCUGUAGUGUUUACAUUCAUAUCCCACCCAAGAUGAGAUGAAUGAACUGGCUGUGUUAAUUGCACAUAAAUCAGUUGCGGGUGUAAUUAAAAGGCAGUUCCAUCCUUUUAGCAGUGCCUAAUGAGUUUGUUAUUAAAUCCAGAAAACUUUUUUUUAUUCUUUUUUUUUCUUUACUAUCAGAAAAGCACCUAAUUGGCCUCCUCAGAACCGAACUUGAGUGUCCUUGAAAGUUAUGACGGCAGGGAGCUUGAGAGCGUACUGGUUGACAUCACCACCUCCCACAAAGGGAGUAUAAAAGCUACUCUGUGCGAAAGGUGUGUGUGUCCUGGACAUAAGCGGGCACUUAAAUAAUCGUUUGAGGAGAAUUUCAGAGCAGUGCGGCUCUCAGAGGAUCUCAGUUGUCCACACAAUGCUGCCAUGCAGGUGUGCCCUUUUUUAUGCUGUGUACACUUUUUAGUGUUAUUUACAAUUGUUUGUUCCCAGGCGAGGACCUCUUUUUUCUUCUUAAAAGACAGAUAACUUUAGCCUGUCCUGAAGUGUCCCUGAUGAGCAGGGCAAAUGCUGGUCAAAAUGAACUUCUGGUUCCUCUUUACAAAAACUUGCCAUGGUUACUGUAGUUUACAGCCAAAGUUUCUACAAUAAUGUGUGGUAACGUGGUAUUAUUAGCCACCACUGGCAUCAUUAUAAUUGACUACCUGUCUCUCCAGCAGGUCCCUGUUCCCCCGCAAAGAAGAC
This is a long non-coding RNA of Cyprinus carpio carpio, 3196 nucleotides long. The record is from Ensembl. Lineage: Eukaryota; Metazoa; Chordata; Actinopteri; Cypriniformes; Cyprinidae.